RNAcentral lists this transfer RNA (87 nucleotides) under Aspergillus carbonarius ITEM 5010. RNAcentral describes it as "tRNA-Ile". It matches the Rfam family "tRNA". From Rfam's summary of the family: Transfer RNA (tRNA) molecules are approximately 80 nucleotides in length. The record is from RNAcentral. Lineage: Eukaryota; Fungi; Ascomycota; Eurotiomycetes; Eurotiales; Aspergillaceae.
GCCUCCUGUAGGUCAGUGGUAGAGCGCUCUACUUAUUCUUAGGAGUAUUCUUAGGAGAGGGCCACGGUUCGAAUCCGCGCAGGGGCA